Non-coding RNA from Paramisgurnus dabryanus, 438 nucleotides. Lineage: Eukaryota; Metazoa; Chordata; Actinopteri; Cypriniformes; Cobitidae. The record is from RefSeq and is a predicted model, not a curated record.
CCUGUGACCGGUGCGCUCCAAACACAAUAAUCUCCUACCUUUACUUGAGGAGUACAAAUCCAUCAUGUUUUCGACGAGGAGUAGCCGUCUAAGACAACAGUCAAAAGAGCCUUAUGUCUCAUUCUGUGCUUAAAAGAAGAAAAUGUCAUAUUCAUCUGAAGACAUGAGGCACCGCUGUCUACGGUCUGCUGCUGGGAAUCUGACUGGAGGUUCAAGAUGUUUGCACAAGAGGGCGUGUUUUUCCCAUACAGUUUUUAACUUACAGUUGACAGUAAACAGACAAGCAUUUUCAGCACUCACAUAUUAACAGAUCUCAUACAAAACUCAGACUGGUGGAACUGACAUCAAAUACAAAUACAGUACACUGUAAUGUGUACGGUGUUGAGAUGGGUUUUGCUAAUUAUAUUACAAUCCUUUCACAAAUGAUUGUGAAUUGAU